Carassius gibelio (silver crucian carp) is the source of this 1702-nucleotide long non-coding RNA. RefSeq lists it as uncharacterized. The record is from RefSeq and is a predicted model, not a curated record. The transcript is spliced from 6 exons. Lineage: Eukaryota; Metazoa; Chordata; Actinopteri; Cypriniformes; Cyprinidae.
GAUUGAGACUGCAGACACUACAGCCUUGCUUGAGCUUUCUGAAAGAAUCGUAGCAUGUGGUACACAGGAUCCUAACAUGUGAUGAAAGGAAGACAUUGUCAGGAGCGAGGACUUUGACAGAACGGGGCUGAAUGUCCAGAUUAAAGAUGCUGUUGUGCCAAACAUUUUUAACUUUCCAGCUCAUCUUCAAAGGGUCUGUGUAUCACUGACCAACAAUAAUUCAAGGUGGCUGGAAUAACAACCCUAAUGUCGUCCAGUUAAAGUAGAUCUUUAGGAAGCUGAUGUUAAACAGAGGCAAUGUGACGGCGCAGGAUGAGUCCCUACCAUCUGUCCUCAACACCUCUUCAAACCUGUCAGAUAUGAGGAGAAGAUCUUCCAUCCACGUUUGCUGACAUUCCUGUUCUAGUACAUGACCACAGCUACCUUCCCGUCUGCUUCGAUGGUCUUGUGGACAACAGUCUCUUGUACAUUUCAAGAUGUACAAUUAUACAAGUCUUACAUAAUUAUGGACUGAAAUUCAACAUGGUUGUAUAUUUAAGACAUGAAUAUUUCAAUUAAAAACAUUUCAAACUGAUUUUCAUAACCAAAAAUUCAAGAAUUCAUAUUCAACUUUCAGAUUUCACUUCCAAAAUAUUCGAUCUAUUUAAAAAUACAACCUAUAAUAUUCAACAGGCAAGUUUCAGUCCAUUUUAUUUCGCUUUACAAAUUCGCUUCCACAAAUUCAGUGGUUCAAAUUUGACAGUAAAUUCACCGUUUCACAUCCGGGAACAACAGGAAAAUCAGUAGAUUACCGAUCACAAUCUCAUCUGCUGUAAAUCGUCUUCACCGGCAGGGGGUGCAAGCGCUACUUUGUCUUAACAAGCAUCAACGAAACCGUCACGAGAGGCCUUCAUAAAACAUCAUUUGACGAAAUGGACCGAGCGCAUUUGCUUUUGGAUUAUGUUUUGGAAAGACUCCGUUCACGCUUGGAAAAUGCUGUUGGACGCCUACCCCUUGACAUGGACUACCUGGAGUUUAUCUGCUCUCAAGAAUUAGUCUUUUUAAGUGCUUUGACCAAUUUAGUUACCAUCCCAGCUGAUAUUUUCGAGGGCAUCACAGAACUGUCAGACUAGUUCGACUAAACCUGUCAGACGGGGAGACGCGCACUUCGACUAUUCUGCAGGAGUCAGGGUCGAUGGGACGACCACGUCUUCUAAUCUCACCAGACUACAUCACCAAUCUCCUGGACAUGAACUUUUCUGUUCCAACCAUUGCUUGCAUGCUUGGAGUAAGUGCACGCGCAGUUUUCAGACGAAUGGCUGAAUGUAACCUCUCCAUUCGGGCGCGAUAUAGCACUCUCACGGACGAAGAGUUAGAUGAUUGUGUGACAGAUGUAAAGCAACACAUGCCUCAGUGUGGAUACAGAAUGAUGAGAGCAGCUGUAAAGGACACCAAGAGCAGUUCGACCGGGUCAGGGCAGAUACAGUGGGAGUCAUGUCCUGAAGGGCACAGUUGGGCUGCGUGGUACGAAGGACACAUUCAGUGUCAGGUCCUAGGUCAAUAAUGCACAUUGACACCAACUAUAAACGGAUUCGCUACAAUAUAGUCAUCUUUGGGGUGUGGAUGGCUUUUCACGCAAGAUAAUGUACCUUGGAGCUUCAUCUAAUAACCUUGCUAAAACCACCUUGGAUAUUUUUCAAGAAGCAGCGAAGACAUUUGGCUU